GACGAACGCUGGCGGCGUGCUUGAUACAUGCAAGUCUUAGGGGUGACCUCCCUUCGGGGAGGAAGCCACUGGCGCACGGGUGAGUAACACGUAAGUCAUCUGCCCUUGAGUCGGGCAUAACACCGGGAAACCGGUGCUAAUUCCCGAUGAUAUCGAAAGAUCAAAGCCUUCGGGCGCUCAAGGAUGAGCUUGCGUCUGAUUAGCUAGUUGGCGGGGUAAUAGCCCACCAAGGCGACGAUCAGUAGCCGGUCUGAGAGGAUGAUCGGCCACAUUGGGACUGAGACACGGCCCAGACUCCUACGGGAGGCAGCAGUAAGGAAUAUUGCGCAAUGGAGGCAACUCUGACGCAGCAACGCCGCGUGCAGGAAGAAGGCCCUUUGGGUCGUAAACUGCUGUAGCAGGGGAAUAAUGGCUCACCACGGGUGGGCAUGAAGGUACCCUGAAAGUAAGCUCCGGCUAACUACGUGCCAGCAGCCGCGGUAAGUACGUA
Molecule: ribosomal RNA, 490 nt
Filed under: uncultured bacterium
Lineage: Bacteria
Description: bacterial SSU rRNA
Rfam family: Bacterial small subunit ribosomal RNA
Source: RNAcentral